AUUGAACGCUGGCGGCAGGCCUAACACAUGCAAGUCGAGCGGAUGAAGGGAGCUUGCUCCUGGAUUCAGCGGCGGACGGGUGAGUAAUGCCUAGGAAUCAGCCUGGUAGUGGGGGAUAACGUCCGGAAACGGGCGCUAAUACCGCAUACGUCCUGAGGGAGAAAGUGGGGGAUCUUCGGACCUCACGCUAUCAGAUGAGCCUAGGUCGGAUUAGCUAGUUGGUGGGGUAAAGGCCUACCAAGGAGACGAUCCGUAACUGGUCUGAGAGGAUGAUCAGUCACACUGGAACUGAGACACGGUCCAGACUCCUACGGGAGGCAGCAGUGGGGAAUAUUGGACAAUGGGCGAAAGCCUGAUCCAGCCAUGCCGCGUGUGUGAAGAAGGUCUUCGGAUUGUAAAGCACUUUAAGUUGGGAGGAAGGGCAGUAAGUUAAUACCUUGCUGUUUUGACGUUACCAACAGAAUAAGCACCGGCUAACUUCGUG
RNAcentral lists this ribosomal RNA (484 nucleotides) under uncultured bacterium. RNAcentral describes it as "partial 16S ribosomal RNA". It matches the Rfam family "Bacterial small subunit ribosomal RNA", at positions 30 to 507 of the family's 1533-position model. The record is from RNAcentral.